Non-coding RNA from Oryza sativa Indica Group (long-grained rice), 114 nucleotides. NCBI's taxonomy places the organism in Eukaryota, Viridiplantae, Streptophyta, Magnoliopsida, Poales, Poaceae. The record is from Rfam.
GAGAGCACAGUACGAUGAAAGUUGUAAGCUGUGUUCGGGGGGGAGUUAUUGUCUAUCGUUGGCCUCUAUGGUAGAACCCGUCGGGGAGGCCUGAGAGGCGGUGGUUUACCCUAU